Molecule: ribosomal RNA, 711 nt
Rfam family: Bacterial large subunit ribosomal RNA
GGCCUGUAUGAAUGGCUUAACGAGGGCUCCACUGUCUCAAUAAUAAACCGGGUGAAAUUGGAAAAACGGUAAAGAUACCGUAAAGGAAUUCUAAGACGAGAAGACCCCAUUGAGCUUUACUAUUAACUUGUAUUGCCAAAGCAAAUAAAAGGGAACUCUCCCUUGCUUUAUAAUAAAAUUGAGUAGACUAAGUGGGAAAAAAGGGAUGUUAGUCCCCUUUUUAUGGCCGAUUCAUUGGAUUGGGCCCCCAAAAGAUACCUUUUGGGGCCAUUGGCGUAGAGAGGGGGGAUCCGAUUUUCGGAUCGGCGCCGAAGGCGCCCAACCCUACUCGAUUUUUAUGAAAAACCACUCUUUUUAUUAGGAUUACUGGCUAAAACCGUACAAGUAAGGUAGUUUGGUUGGGGCGACCGCCUUCGAAAAAGUAUCGAAGGCGUACAUAAGAUUAAUCCGGGGGGGGUGUCCUUUUUUCACCCCCAAACAAACCGGGGGUAAUGCCCCAAAAAAGAUUAGUUUGACUGAGAGGGCUACAACCCGAACAGGCGCUUGGGGAUCGUUAGGAUCCCUGGGCCCGGUUUAUACCAAGGGGCCUAAUUGACCAGCGGGCUCCUUUUUAUUCCCGGGUCGAACCUAGCGGGUCAUAGUGAUCCGUUGUUAUAUUGUGGGAUAGACAACGAUCAACGAAGAAAAGUUACCAUGGGGAUAACAGCGUAA